GGCGUAUAUAACUCAGUUGGUUAGAGUGUCAGGUUGUGGUUCUGGAAGCCGGGGGUUCAAAUCUCCUUAUUCGCC
This 75-nucleotide transfer RNA is filed under the name Protohalopteris sp. Its description in RNAcentral is "tRNA-Thr". It matches the Rfam family "tRNA". Rfam says of the family: Transfer RNA (tRNA) molecules are approximately 80 nucleotides in length. Their secondary structure includes four short double-helical elements and three loops (D, anti-codon, and T loops). Further hydrogen bonds mediate the characteristic L-shaped molecular structure. tRNAs have two regions of fundamental functional importance: the anti-codon, which is responsible for specific mRNA codon recognition, and the 3' end, to which the tRNAs corresponding amino acid is attached (by aminoacyl-tRNA synthetases). tRNAs cope with the degeneracy of the genetic code in two manners: having more than one tRNA (with a specific anti-codon) for a particular amino acid; and 'wobble' base-pairing, i.e. permitting non-standard base-pairing at the 3rd anti-codon position. The record is from RNAcentral. Lineage: Eukaryota; Phaeophyceae; Sphacelariales; Stypocaulaceae.